AAAUUAUUAAAUCUGUUCUUAUCAGUUUAAUCUCUGACAUGUUCUCUAUCUGAGAACUCAAUUGAAGGGAUUUUUGGAACAGGGAUCUGGAACAGAGGCUUGCUCCAUCCACUCCACGCAUCAGCCUGGUAUUGCAGUCCUGCUGGGUAUGGUGCACCUCCC
Molecule: small nuclear RNA, 162 nt
Filed under: Chelonia mydas (Green sea turtle)
Lineage: Eukaryota; Metazoa; Chordata; Testudines; Cheloniidae
Description: U2 spliceosomal RNA
Rfam family: U2 spliceosomal RNA
About the family: U2 is a small nuclear RNA (snRNA) component of the spliceosome (involved in pre-mRNA splicing). Complementary binding between U2 snRNA (in an area lying towards the 5' end but 3' to hairpin I) and the branchpoint sequence (BPS) of the intron results the bulging out of an unpaired adenosine, on the BPS, which initiates a nucleophilic attack at the intronic 5' splice site, thus starting the first of two transesterification reactions that mediate splicing.
Source: Rfam by way of RNAcentral